RNAcentral lists this small nucleolar RNA (120 nucleotides) under Meriones unguiculatus (Mongolian gerbil). RNAcentral describes it as "Small nucleolar RNA SNORA25 (ENSMUGG00000015192.1)". The record is from RNAcentral. Lineage: Eukaryota; Metazoa; Chordata; Mammalia; Rodentia; Muridae.
AGAUCAUUUCAAAGAAGGAAAACAAGAACUUAAUGCUGCUGUGACCAAAGGCUGAAGUUCUCCACAGGAUGCUGCUCACUCCUAUACUCCAGCGCUGUAUUUUCACAAGGAGAUAAUGGA